CGAAAAAUAUUGAAGAAGAAAACUUGUAAAAUAAAAUUAGGGCUUUCUGCACUAAGGUAAAAGACAAGUGAAAAAAUUUGAAAAAAUUUUUGAAUGCAAAAUAGGUGGUCUAUAUUCGCUUGAGUGUGCACUUGAUUAUGCGACCCCACACACUCAAGCGAAUCUAAACAAUUCGUUUUAAAUUCGGAGAACUUUUAUUCAAC
This 203-nucleotide long non-coding RNA is filed under the name Actinidia chinensis (golden kiwifruit). RNAcentral describes it as "long non-coding RNA (ACHI_LNC009260)". Lineage: Eukaryota; Viridiplantae; Streptophyta; Magnoliopsida; Ericales; Actinidiaceae. The record is from RNAcentral.